RNAcentral lists this long non-coding RNA (2240 nucleotides) under Homo sapiens (human). RNAcentral describes it as "HSALNT0392966". Lineage: Eukaryota; Metazoa; Chordata; Mammalia; Primates; Hominidae. The record is from RNAcentral.
GCCUCUCUCAAAUGACUUCUCCUGUUGUUUGUGUUUCUCCAGUGUGGGUGCUGGAGAGCAUAACUGAUGAGGAGGACUCUCCAGCUAGGGAACUGCUUUCCAGCUCCUGGACCACCUCAUAUCACCAGCACCCUCUACCCAAGGUCCUGGAGCCAACACUGGAGUAAAAGAGCACAAGAGAACUCCUUAGAGGUGGAAGGAUACCCUCUGAGGUCAAAUCAUUGGGCUUGUGGCCAUGAGACCACAGACUUUGCCUGGCUUCCAGUGACUGUCCGAGAUGACCUGUGGAGUGCACCGCCUGUACUUGGACAUCACUGUCUUUUCGGAUCCAUACCCGUCAUCCUUGGAAUUUCCCCUGCAUCCAAACCUGUUCCUGAUACAGGUAUAACCCUAAGGAAUAUCUUGGAUGUCUUCACGGGGCUUAUGACUUAUUCUGAGGUUUACAAAAUAGAGGCCCCCAGCUGAGCAAAGAGAGGGCUGCAGCGCCGAGGGAACAGCUGCCGGACUCACCGGAGAGGCCUCCUGGAGCACGCCGGGACCCCCUCCACCCCCUGGCUUUGGCUGCAUCAAUGGCUAGUUUGCCUGAACUAUAUCUGAGCCACUGAGAGUAUUUAUUAAGCAGAGAAUAAUUUUGAGUUUCACUUUUAUAACUUUUGUUUCAAAAGUUGUUUUGGAUAAUUUAAUGAAAUGACUGUAAACCAGAAUUCCCCUUUUCAUUAUUUCUUUGUGUCAAUAUAAAAAGAGUUGAUGAUUUUAAAAGCCAGUGAGAUGUCCCUGUCUGUGGAUGUCAGCGGGAGGGUGGGGUCUGACGCCUUUCUCUGGUGGCUGUCCAGGAAGAUUGCCCCAGCUUGCACUCCCUUUUGGCGGGUUCCAGAGCCUUCCAUUUGAAAGGAGCAUCUCUCACCACUCUGCCCCACCCAGCACCAGCUCUUCUGGAACCCACUGACUUCCUAAACACUUUCUUCCUCCUUCACCUCAUUGAAUUCAAGACUUUAGAAAACAGCCAAAAACUCUAGAGGUGGGGGUGGGUUCGAUCUGGAAAUCCCUGCUGUAAUCUUUUUAAGGGAAUCCACUGGAAAUUAUUAAUUUAUGUUUUAAAUAAAACCAUUCCUUACUUAACAGAAUAUUAAGCCACUCAUUUUUUUAACAGAACUUUCGAGAUAUAAUUAAAAUGCCAUAAAUUUCACCCCCACACAGUGUACAAUUCCAAGGUUUCCAAUAUAGUCACAGAAGUCUCUGCAACAAUUACCACAAUUUUAGACAUGAAGACCAUUUGUUGGCAGCCCUACCUGCCUCUAUGUGUAUGUAUAUAAUUUUAAUAUUGGAUUGGAUACUAUAGUAAUAUUGUACUGUUACCUAUUUGUGUUUUUAUAUUGCUGUUUUAUUUUAUUCAGAUGAAUAAUAAUUAUCUCCAUAUAGUCAUACAUUUAUAUAGGGUUAAACACACCUUUUUACAAUUCAAUAAAUUAAAUUGGUCAGGUAUGGUGGCUCACGCCUGUAAUCCCAGCACUUUGGGAGGCCAAGGCGGGUGGAUCACCUGAGGUUGGGAGUUUGAGACCAGCGUGAUCAACAUGGAGAAACCCUGUCUGUACUAAAAAUACAAAAAAUUAGCCAGGCAUGGUGGCACAUGCCUGUAAUCCCAGCUACUUGGGAGGCUGAGGCAGGAGAAUCACUCGAACCAAGGAGGCGGACAUUGCGGUGAGCCAGGAUCGCACCAUUGCACUCCAGCCUGGGCAACAAGAGCAAAACUCCAUCUCAAGAAGAAAAAAAAAAAAAAAGUAAAUUGUUUUUAAUUACAUAAGAAACACGUGUUAUUGUUAUAGAAAUUCACAUAGUGCUUCGGUCUAUAGAAUAAAUGUAUCCCCACCACCUCCCAGCCCACCCACUCGUCUGCAUUCACCUACACACAGUUAAACAUGCACAUAUGUUUCCGUGACACGAUCUUGCUUUGCAUAUUGUUCACUGACUGGCUUUUCCAUAUAAGAUUUAAUUUGGUGAUUAUUGCUUAUCAGUACCUAUAGGUCUCUCUCAUUAUUAUUUAUAAUUACAUCAUUAUUCCAUAGGGUAUUUUACCACAAUUUGGUCACUUUUUCACUGAGGAAUUUUUAUGUCAGUUUCAGUUAUUUGUUAUUGUUACCAAUGCUGUACUGGGCAUCCCUGUAUAUCCACCUUUUUGUUGCAUUAGUUAAGUGGUUUUUUCCUUUUAUGAUUGAUUUCUAAAAAUAAAAUACUGCAGCAAA